UUGAGAAAUGGCAAAUGAUUGGAAGGAUUAAAGUGGUCAUUAAUGAAGAAAUGUGGGUUGGGUUCUGCAGUGCAUGUGUUCCCUUCCCUUCAUCACUUAACCUCUCACCACACCAGAAGCUGCCGAAACACACAAACUCUCUCUCUCACCGGUUGGUUCGAUUGCAUUUGCUUUACAUUUGGUGACCGUACGUUUGAGUUGGGGAAGAAAAGCAAGAGUGCUUGUCCGCUGAGACCGCAAAGCCACAGAUCGAACUAAAACCCCAACACAGAAUCUUUUCCUUCAUCUGAUCAUUCAAUUGCUAUGAGCAAGAGGAAGCUUCCCUCUGAUGAUCUCAGCCCUCCGUCUUUCUCUCCUUGUUCUUCGGGUACCAUGCCAUGUUCUUCUGGAAUGGAUUUAUUAACACAAGAGCAUCAUCCAAGCCUUGGGCGAUCAAUGUUCCUUAAACGCUCACAUCAUCACUAUGCGCAUCAAUACUCUCGACGUAACUCAGGCAGUCUUGCUAACAAAUCAACUUCUCGUGGAAAAGGAGUGCCUUUGCGUGACGAUACACUCUCCUAUAAGUUGGCUACUCAAUCCAGCUUCGAGUCCAGACGUCAUUCAGGUUUUAUUUUGUAUUGCCCCCUUUUUCUUCUCCUUAUUUUGUUCAACUUCAAAAUACCUUCAUGAGGUUCUUUAGUUUUUAUGGAAGAUGAAGACAACGAGAACUCUUGUAUGCUACAUGGAUGAAUGGGGCAUAUGUAGCCAGCAAACCAAGGAAAAGCCUUUUAUUCGGCCAGCCAGAAUUAGAUCUGGUUUCUUGGCAACGGAUGCUGUAUCAUCGGAUCCAGGGAAGAUGGUAUGUGGGAUUUGUGACAAGCUGUUGAGGCGUAAACCUUUCUUUCUCGGUAGCACGCUGUCUUCGACUGAAGUCUCUGUUGUUGCAGUUUUAGUUUGCGGCCAUCUUUACCAUGCAGAUUGUUUGGAGCAGAAAACAAGUUUUGAAGAUAGACGCGACCCCCACUGCCCAUUGUGUGCAGGAUUAUUGCCCAAGGUUGAAGAUUCAAGAGAGUAGAGUUAGUGAGAACGGUCUUUGGGUUUUUAUAUCGGAAACCUAUGAGGCAGAAACUGUACUUUCUUGCGAACACCUGUCUUCAACAACAACGCUCAUAAGGAGUCCUAUUGAAACCAAGAAAUAUAGGCCUGCCUGCCAUCCACCCCAGAAUAAAUGAAGUUUGAACUCCGUGGCAACGUAUGUUUGCAGCCAUGAUUUCAUGAAGACUCUGCUUCGAGCACAAAACAAGUUAGAAGACAGAUGCUGCCACCUAAUUUUGUCCAUUGUGUGCGCCCAAGGUUCAAACGUUCAAGGUUCGAGUGGGCAUAAGUUGGUUGUAAAGUUGUUAACUUGACUCCAUUGAUAGCCUAGUACUGAGUACUUGAUAAAAGAAUCACCAAGGGUUCGUCGGAAGCUUUCUUAAGCAGAUUAACUCCUAGACAGGCGAAAACUUUCGGUUUGGACUUCGAUGUUAAACUGUAGUUUGUAUUCAGUAGCUAAUGACUGUUUUUAAUGCCCUAGAAGUUAGAGGAAGCAAGCUUUGUGAGUAAUGUACGAAUUCUAGUUGAUGUCAUUUUUUGGAUGUUAUUUGCAUAUUCAUAGUGUAUGGAUUUGUUUUCCGCUUUUCUGCAAA
This is a non-coding RNA of Malus domestica (apple), 1667 nucleotides long. The record is from RefSeq and is a predicted model, not a curated record. NCBI's taxonomy places the organism in Eukaryota, Viridiplantae, Streptophyta, Magnoliopsida, Rosales, Rosaceae.